Molecule: ribosomal RNA, 882 nt
Filed under: Staphylococcus pseudintermedius
Lineage: Bacteria; Bacillati; Bacillota; Bacilli; Caryophanales; Staphylococcaceae
Description: partial 23S ribosomal RNA
Rfam family: Bacterial large subunit ribosomal RNA
Source: RNAcentral
CCCCAGUAAACGGCGGCCGUAACUAUAACGGUCCUAAGGUAGCGAAAUUCCUUGUCGGGUAAGUUCCGACCCGCACGAAAGGCGUAACGAUUUGGGCACUGUCUCAACGAGAGACUCGGUGAAAUCAUAGUACCGGUGAAGAUGCCGGUUACCCGCGACAGGACGGAAAGACCCCGUGGAGCUUUACUGUAGCCUGAUAUUGAAAUUCGGUACAGUUUGUACAGGAUAGGUAGGAGCCUUAGAAGCGUGAGCGCUAGCUUACGUGGAGGCAUUGGUGGGAUACUACCCUAAUUGUAUUGGAUUUCUAACCCGCAGCACUUAUCGUGCUGGGAGACAGUGUCAGGCGGGCAGUUUGACUGGGGCGGUCGCCUCCUAAAGAGUAACGGAGGCGCUCAAAGGUUCCCUCAGAAUGGUUGGAAAUCAUUCAUAGAGUGUAAAGGCAUAAGGGAGCUUGACUGCGAGACCUACAAGUCGAGCAGGGUCGAAAGACGGACUUAGUGAUCCGGUGGUUCCGCAUGGAAGGGCCAUCGCUCAACGGAUAAAAGCUACCCCGGGGAUAACAGGCUUAUCUCCCCCAAGAGUUCACAUCGACGGGGAGGUUUGGCACCUCGAUGUCGGCUCAUCGCAUCCUGGGGCUGUAGUCGGUCCCAAGGGUUGGGCUGUUCGCCCAUUAAAGCGGUACGCGAGCUGGGUUCAGAACGUCGUGAGACAGUUCGGUCCCUAUCCGUCGUGGGCGUAGGAAAUUUGAGAGGAGCUGUCCUUAGUACGAGAGGACCGGGAUGGACAUACCUCUGGUGUACCAGUUGUCGUGCCAACGGCAUAGCUGGGUAGCUAUGUAUGGACGGGAUAAGUGCUGAAAGCAUCUAAGCAUGAAGCCCCCCU